GGGCCCGCACAAGCAGCGGAGCGUGUUGCUUAAUUCGAUGCAACGCGAAGACUUACCUGGGUUUGACAUGUAGGGAAAAGCUCUAGAGAUAGGGUGUCCUUCGGGCCUUACACAGGUGGUGCAUGGUUGUCGUCAGCUCGUGUCGUGAGAUGUUGGGUUAAGUCCCGCAACGAGCGCAACCCUUAUCCUAUGUUGCCAGCAUUUAGUUGGGGACUCGUAGGAGACUGCCGGGGUCAACUCGGAGGAAGGUGGGGAUGACGUCAAGUCAUCAUGCCCCUUAUGCCCAGGGCUGCAAACACGCUACAAUGGCUGGUACAGAGGGCUGCGAACCCGCGAGGGCAAGCG
This 345-nucleotide ribosomal RNA is filed under the name uncultured bacterium. RNAcentral's name for it is "bacterial SSU rRNA". It matches the Rfam family "Bacterial small subunit ribosomal RNA", at positions 917 to 1269 of the family's 1533-position model. The record is from RNAcentral.